GUGCGGAAGGAUCCACUGCAUGAUGAUAUCAUGAGGAAAGUCCGGGCUGCAUAGGGAGGCGUGCCACCUAACGGGUGGCUUCCGAGAGGAAGGGAAAGUGCUACAGAGAAUAACCGCCAUAUUAUAUGGUAAGGGUGAAAAGGUGGGGUAAGAGCCCACCAGUGCUUGAUGUAAAUCAGGUAGCUGAGUAAACCCCAUGCGCUGAAAGACCAUGUAUACCGAGGAUAGGGUGUCCCGUCCUUUUAUUGAUUUCGGUCAAUAGCUUCGGGGGGUUGGUCGAUUGAACCUCAGGGUGACUUGAGGUCUAGAUAAAUGGUGGAAGUUUAGCAGUCAAUGUUAAAUGAACAGAACCCGGCUUACGAUUCCGCUACACAU
RNAcentral lists this RNase P RNA (375 nucleotides) under Bacteroidota bacterium. RNAcentral's name for it is "Bacteroidetes bacterium (marine metagenome) RNase P RNA component class A". It matches the Rfam family "Bacterial RNase P class A". From Rfam's summary of the family: Ribonuclease P (RNase P) is a ubiquitous endoribonuclease, found in archaea, bacteria and eukarya as well as chloroplasts and mitochondria. The record is from RNAcentral. Lineage: Bacteria; Pseudomonadati; Bacteroidota.